This 253-nucleotide ribosomal RNA is filed under the name uncultured bacterium. RNAcentral's name for it is "partial 16S ribosomal RNA". It matches the Rfam family "Bacterial small subunit ribosomal RNA", at positions 524 to 776 of the family's 1533-position model. The record is from RNAcentral.
UACAGAGGUCCCAAGCGUUGUUCGGAUUCAUUGGGCGUAAAGGGUGUGUAGGUGGCGCCGUAAGUCGGGUGUGAAAUUUCGGAGCUUAACUCCGAAACUGCAUUCGAUACUGCGGUGCUUGAGGACUGGAGAGGAGACUGGAAUUCAUGGUGUAGCAGUGAAAUGCGUAGAGAUCAUGAGGAAGACCAGUGGCGAAGGCGGGUCUCUGGACAGGAACUGACGCUGAGACGCGAAAGCGUGGGUAGCAAACAGG